UACGUAGGGUGCAAGCGUUAAUCGGAAUUACUGGGCGUAAAGCGUGCGCAGGCGGUUAUGUAAGACAGUUGUGAAAUCCCCGGGCUCAACCUGGGAACUGCAUCUGUGACUGCAUAGCGUAGAGUACGGUAGAGGGGGAUGGAAUUCCGCGUGUAGCAGUGAAAUGCGUAGAUAUGCGGAGGAACACCGAUGGCGAAGGCAAUCCCCCUGGG
Molecule: ribosomal RNA, 212 nt
Filed under: uncultured bacterium
Lineage: Bacteria
Description: partial 16S ribosomal RNA
Rfam family: Bacterial small subunit ribosomal RNA
Source: RNAcentral